RNAcentral lists this unclassified non-coding RNA (405 nucleotides) under Bombus terrestris (buff-tailed bumblebee). RNAcentral describes it as "misc RNA ENSBTSG00005025580.1". Lineage: Eukaryota; Metazoa; Arthropoda; Insecta; Hymenoptera; Apidae. The record is from RNAcentral.
CCGCGGUUUUUAAUCGGCAGUAGGUCAGAAAUGCACGCUGUAGCAGAAAUUAAUAAUCGUGUGUUUGUCGCGAUAUAUCCGCGUUCCACGCCGCUUUCUAUGCAUCCUUUUAUCUAAUUGCAAGAUAGUUGAAAAGGCCGAGAUUGGCGAAGGAUUCUUUGGCCUCAGAAUCCUUCGUACUGUUUAAUAGGACGAAGGUGAAUUCUAACCAGUAAUCUUAUCAAGAAGGCUACCCUGUUUGUCACCGGUACUUAUCGAUUGGAAGACACGUCGCAUCAUCCCCAAUUUGUCACAUCGUACACCCCAAUGACCACCCCAUCUGAUUCUAUGUAUAAUCUAUCAUAUCGAAUGAGUAGGGUGCCCCUUUUUUGUUGACGACAGAUGCAAAAGAUAUCGAAUUUCGUG